RNAcentral lists this ribosomal RNA (470 nucleotides) under Paenibacillus tundrae. RNAcentral describes it as "bacterial SSU rRNA". It matches the Rfam family "Bacterial small subunit ribosomal RNA", at positions 102 to 558 of the family's 1533-position model. Lineage: Bacteria; Bacillati; Bacillota; Bacilli; Caryophanales; Paenibacillaceae. The record is from RNAcentral.
ACGGGUGAGUAACACGUAGGCAACCUGCCCUCAAGUUUGGGACAACUACCGGAAACGGUAGCUAAUACCGAAUAAUUGUUUUCUUCGCCUGAAGAGAACUGGAAAGACGGAGCAAUCUGUCACUUGGGGAUGGGCCUGCGGCGCAUUAGCUAGUUGGUGAGGUAACGGCUCACCAAGGCGACGAUGCGUAGCCGACCUGAGAGGGUGAUCGGCCACACUGGGACUGAGACACGGCCCAGACUCCUACGGGAGGCAGCAGUAGGGAAUCUUCCGCAAUGGGCGAAAGCCUGACGGAGCAAUGCCGCGUGAGUGAUGAAGGUUUUCGGAUCGUAAAGCUCUGUUGCCAGGGAAGAACGCUUGGGAGAGUAACUGCUCUCAAGGUGACGGUACCUGAGAAGAAAGCCCCGGCUAACUACGUGCCAGCAGCCGCGGUAAUACGUAGGGGGCAAGCGUUGUCCGGAAUUAUUGGG